This 1474-nucleotide ribosomal RNA is filed under the name uncultured prokaryote. RNAcentral's name for it is "partial 16S ribosomal RNA". It matches the Rfam family "Bacterial small subunit ribosomal RNA". The record is from RNAcentral.
AGAGUUUGAUCCUGGCUCAGAACGAACGCUGGUGGUAUGCUUAACACAUGCAAGUCGAACGGAUUUAUUUGAGCUUGCUUAAAUAAAUUAGUGGCAAACGGGUGAGUAAUACAUAGGAAUCUACCUAGCCGUAAGGAAUAACCCUGGGAAACCAGAGCUAAUGCCAUAUAUUACCGAUUGGAUUUAAUUUAUCGGGAAAGAUUUAUCGCUGUUAGAUGAGCCUGUGCCCCAUUAGCUUGUUGGUAGGGUAAUGGCCUACCAAGGCGAUGAUGGGUAGCUGGUCUGAGAGGAUGAUCAGCCACACUGGGACUGCGACACGGCCCAGACUCCUACGGGAGGCAGCAGUGGGGAAUAUUGGACAAUGGGCGCAAGCCUGAUCCAGCAAUACCACGUGAGUGAUGAAGGCUUUCGGGUUGUAAAACUCUUUUAGUAGGGAAGAUAAUGACGGUACCUACAGAAAAAGCACCGGCUAACUUCGUGCCAGCAGCCGCGGUAAUACGAAGGGUGCUAGCGUUGUUCGGAAUUAUUGGGCGUAAAGCGUGCGUAGGCGGCUUAGUAAGUCAGCUGUGAAAGCCCAGGGCUCAACCCUGGAACUGCAGUUGAAACUACUAUGGCUAGAGUAUGGCAGGGGACAGUGGAAUUCCUAGUGUAGGGGUGAAAUCCGUAGAUAUUAGGAGGAACAUCAGUGGCGAAGGCGACUGUCUAUACCAUUACUGACGCUGAGGUACGAAAGCGUGGGGAGCAAACAGGAUUAGAUACCCUGGUAGUCCACGCAGUAAACGAUGAGUGCUGGCUGUCGGGACCACGAGUUUCGGUGGCGAAGCUAACGCGUUAAGCACUCCGCCUGGGGAGUACGGCCGCAAGGCUAAAACUCAAAGGAAUUGACGGGGACCCGCACAAGCAGUGGAGCAUGUGGUUUAAUUCGAUGCAACGCGAAGAACCUUACCAGCUCUUGAAUCCUGGUCGCGAUUUUCAGAGAUGAAUUUCUUCAGUUCGGCUGGACCAGUGACAGGUGUUGCAUGGCUGUCGUCAGCUCGUGUCGUGAGAUGUUAGGUUAAGUCCUUCAACGAGCGCAACCCUCAUCCUUAUUUGCCAUCGGGUUAUGCCGGGAACUAUAAGGAAACUGCCAACGACAAGUUGGAGGAAGGUGGGGACGAUGUCAAGUCAUCAUGGCCCUUAUGGGCUGGGCUACACACAUGCUACAAUGGUGGUUACAACGGGCUAGCGAAAGAGCAAUCUGGAGCCAAUCCUUCAAAAACCAUCUCAGUUCGAAUUGGGGGCUGCAACUCGCCCCCAUGAAGUUGGAAUUGCUAGUAAUCGCGAAUCAGAACGUCGCGGUGAAUACGUUCUCGGGUCUUGUACACACUGCCCGUCAAGCCAUGGGAGUUGUUUCUACCUGAAUAUGGUGAGCUAACCUUCGGGAGGUAGCCAUACACGGUAGGAAUAGUGACUGGGGUUAAGUCGUAACAAGGUA